GGGACCGGUUCUCAGUGUCACCAGCACCAAACCUCAGCAGAUUUCCUGCACCUUCUGCUGCAGCACCACAAAUCUAUCAAAUGCCAAUGGGGCGCCUGCAGGGACGUGGCAAAGAUCGCAUACUUCUACAAGGAAUCUUUUAGAGGCUCCCAAGAACCACGCGGCAAAUGAUUUUUUCCAUGUGAGGGUGGGAAUUUCAAUAUUUUUCAAACGUAUCUCCAUCAUUCUAAGGGAGAUUUCACAAGAUACUAGAAAGUAUAUCCAAUUAUCUGAUCUGCUCACUGAAAAUGUUAUCUUUUAUUUAUUCUAUUGGCAAAGACCUGGACUGCUUUUCUUCUUAUAAGCAAGCAUUUUUAUAAAAGACAUUACAUCUUUA
RNAcentral lists this long non-coding RNA (376 nucleotides) under Gallus gallus (chicken). RNAcentral's name for it is "lncRNA (ENSGALG00010023524.1)". The record is from RNAcentral. Lineage: Eukaryota; Metazoa; Chordata; Aves; Galliformes; Phasianidae.